CCGAGAGGGGCGGAGAGAGGAGGUAACGGUCGUAAAAAAAAAUCAGCAAAAUGAAGAAAGUUCAUCAAAAAGGAGCUCCCGUGCCUCCCAGGCCAAAGGAGCCUUCAUUCUGCAGCCGGGGAUUCUGGGAGUUUGAGUUUCGCUGCUGCAGCGGACUGCCAGCGUCGGUGAGGCUCUGGUUCCCGUGGACCCCUGAAGUGUGCUGCUGGAGGAUGCUGUGGGAGUGUUCGAUUCUCCCGGAGUGAGACGUCUGAGGAGACACAGAGGAGCAGAUUUAUUCUCCUGAAAUAAACAUUUAACUCUCAGCGGAGUCA
Molecule: long non-coding RNA, 314 nt
Organism: Notolabrus celidotus (New Zealand spotty)
Lineage: Eukaryota; Metazoa; Chordata; Actinopteri; Labriformes; Labridae
Exons: 2
Source: RefSeq, a predicted model, not a curated record